UCCUUUUUAUCAAAGGCUGUUUUUGCAGUAACUAACAGCAAAUAGAGGUUGCGCUCGUUAAGGGACUUAACCAAACAUAUCAAAACACGAGCUGACGACAGCCAUGCAACACCUGAAAAGAAUAUAUUUCUUUUUGUCAAGAACUGGUAAGGUUAGGCGGGUAUUAUCGCAUUAAACCACAUGUUCCACCACUUGUAUAGACCCCCGUCAAUUCCUUUGAGUUUCAACCUUGCGGUCGUACUUCUCCGGCGGAGUGCUUCAUGCUUUCGCUUUUAAUGAGUAUAUAAAUUUUACCCCUUAGCACUCAUCUUUGAGGGUGUGGACUAC
This 327-nucleotide unclassified non-coding RNA is filed under the name uncultured bacterium. RNAcentral describes it as "contains 16S-23S intergenic spacer region". The record is from RNAcentral.